UACGAAGGGAGCUAGCGUUGUUCGGAAUCACUGGGCGUAAAGGGCGCGUAGGCGGUGAUGCAAGUCAGAGGUGAAAUCCCGGAGCUUAACUCCGGAACUGCCUUUGAAACUGCAUUGCUUGAAGGUGAGAGAGGGUAGUGGAAUUCUGAAUGUAGCGGUGAAAUGCGUAGAUAUUCAGAGGAACACCGAUGGCGAAGGCAGCUACCUGGCUCACUAUUGACGCUGAGGCGCGAAAGCGUGGGGAUCAAACAGG
RNAcentral lists this ribosomal RNA (253 nucleotides) under uncultured bacterium. RNAcentral's name for it is "partial 16S ribosomal RNA". It matches the Rfam family "Bacterial small subunit ribosomal RNA", at positions 524 to 776 of the family's 1533-position model. The record is from RNAcentral.